AGGAUGGCGACCGGCGCACGGGUGAGUAACACGUAUCCAACCUGCCUCAUACUCGGGGAUAGCCUUUCGAAAGAAAGAUUAAUAUCCGAUAGCAUAUAUUUCCCGCAUGGGUUUUAUAUUAAAGAAAUUCGGUAUGAGAUGGGGAUGCGUUCCAUUAGUUUGUUGGGGGGGUAACGGCCCACCAAGACUACGAUGGAUAGGGGUUCUGAGAGGAAGGUCCCCCACAUUGGAACUGAGACACGGUCCAA
Molecule: ribosomal RNA, 248 nt
Filed under: uncultured bacterium
Lineage: Bacteria
Description: partial 16S ribosomal RNA
Rfam family: Bacterial small subunit ribosomal RNA
Source: RNAcentral